Molecule: non-coding RNA, 104 nt
Filed under: Alkalihalobacillus pseudalcaliphilus
Lineage: Bacteria; Bacillati; Bacillota; Bacilli; Caryophanales; Bacillaceae
Description: Bacillus pseudalcaliphilus SAM-I sequence
Rfam family: SAM riboswitch aptamer (S box leader)
About the family: The SAM riboswitch is found upstream of a number of genes which code for proteins involved in methionine or cysteine biosynthesis in Gram-positive bacteria. The SAM riboswitch acts at the level of transcription termination control.
Source: RNAcentral
CUCUUAUCAAGAGCUGGCGGAGGGAUAAGCCCUAUGAAGCCCGGCAACCGGUUUAUUUAAAUACGGUGCUAAUUCUUACAAUCUUUAUGAUUGAAAGAUGAGAG